This 390-nucleotide ribosomal RNA is filed under the name fungal sp. RNAcentral describes it as "SSU rRNA". It matches the Rfam family "Eukaryotic small subunit ribosomal RNA", at positions 827 to 1217 of the family's 1831-position model. The record is from RNAcentral. Lineage: Eukaryota; Fungi.
CGUGCGGUUCUAUUUUGUUGGUUUCUAGGACCGCCGUAAUGAUUAAUAGGGACAGUCGGGGGCAUCAGUAUUCAAUUGUCAGAGGUGAAAUUCUUGGAUUUAUUGAAGACUAACUACUGCGAAAGCAUUUGCCAAGGAUGUUUUCAUUAAUCAGGAACGAAAGUUAGGGGAUCGAAGACGAUCAGAUACCGUCGUAGUCUUAACCAUAAACUAUGCCGACUAGGGAUCGGACGAUGUUAUUUUUUGACUCGUUCGGCACCUUACGAGAAAUCAAAGUGCUUGGGCUCCAGGGGGAGUAUGGUCGCAAGGCUGAAACUUAAAGAAAUUGACGGAAGGGCACCACCAGGGGUGGAGCCUGCGGCUUAAUUUGACUCAACACGGGGAAACUCA